CUUCCAUAUAAUUUCUUGCAUUCAAAUACACUCACUAGGCAUUUGCUUAGAGAAAAUGUAUUAUGUGAGGAUGAAGAGUUUUUAAUCUGCAGAGGGUCCUAUGCUAUUGAAGCAGCUACUGUCAGUUGCUGAGUAACAGAGAAAAGAAAUCAGCUCACUCUUCACUGCAAGAUCCUGCAAGCUUGGUUAUCUGAAAUUAUUUGCAGCUGAGACAGCCAAUGUAUCCUGAGCUGCAUCAGAAGAAGCGUGGCCAGCAGGGAGAGAGAGAUGAUUGUCCCCCUCCACUCAGCCCAUGUGAGACCCCACUAGCAGUAUUGCGCUCAGCUCUGAGGAUCCCAGUGGGGGGUAUGUUCCUUAUUUCUCAAAAGAAAUGCAUCCCGACAGGAAAGUUGCCAAGGAAUAUCAAAGAUGUAGAUGAGCCUUUGACUGAAUAAACACUGGAUAAGUUAGAUAUUUUUGGUUAGGAUGGAAAAACUGAGAAGUCAUUUGAUAGAUUAACAACAGCAAGAAGAAUAAAGAUGGAUUACUUGUUCCUAUACCAGAUAAAACUGUCAGAAGGCAGAGUCAAAACAAACAGGAGAUAUCUCACAAGCAUCAUUACAAUACAGAACUCCUCCCUUGGAUGCACAGAGGUUAACUUAAAAGAAGGAAAAGACAUCAGAGCAAAUUAAAUAUAAUGAUAAUAGCUACAGAUUAGACAGCUCUUGAAGAACAGAUUGUUGUAAGAUAGGAGAAUGUAAUAGGAAGUAUCAUGUCUAAUUUCUUGCUUGUAAUCCUCAGCAUCUGAUACUUGUCCACUGCCAAGGACAACAAAGUUGUCUGGAAGAUCUUGCUUAUUUCAGCUGGUCUAGUAUUCUUUACUGCACACUAAUUUCCCUUCCACCAUGAGGCAGAGUACAAUUUGAAUCUUGCAAAUAUUCACAAGGUUUGAUAGAAAUAUAUUCCAAGAUUUCAGAAAAACCCUGUUGAACUGAAAAAAAAAAACAAAAAAAAAAAAACAAAAAACUCUUCCCAUUUUUUCUCUCUGCCAUUUUACAAACUUCAAAAAUUAAGCAUCCAGUUUUAUGUAUGACUCAUGGAAUACUGAAUAUAUCAGGGAAAGUGAUUACAAGUUUACUGCUCAUGAUGAAAUUAGUGACUUACUGUUGCAUAAAGUUUGACAAUCAGAAAUUCCACACAUACUUGUAUGCUUCAUAAGGAUUCUGUACACGAGCAGAUUUCUUGAACUUCAGAAAGCUGGCUAAUGUGUUACAACUUCUUUGCUUUCUACAAAUACCUGAAAGGAGAUUGCAAUGAAGAGGAUGUUGAUUGCAGAUGACAAGUAAUAGAAUGUGAGGAAAUGGCCUCAAAAUUCAUGAAGGGAGAUUUAUAUUGGUAUCUGUAAGCAUCUCUUCAUCAAAAAAAUGAUUAGGAACAUGCUAUCCAUGCAAACAGUGAAAUCAUCAUCCUUAAUUUAAGAGAUGUGUGACCAUGGCACUCAUGGGCAUGAUUUAGUGGUGAGACUCUGUAGGUCAGAUUGAUGGUUAGACUUGAUGACCUCAAAAGCUGUUUCAACAUGGAUGAGUCUAUGAUUUGAUGACUCUAAUUAUUUUUCCUAAUUAAAUUUGGAUUAUCUUAUCAUUUUGAAAGUGUUGUGUCACUAAACAAAGUAAAAAUAAUUUUCAUGCUUUUACAAUAUUACAUUUAAGGUUUUGCUGGACACUAUCUUGUCUCUGGGUUUUAACAGUUU
This is a long non-coding RNA of Gallus gallus (chicken), 1729 nucleotides long. NCBI's taxonomy places the organism in Eukaryota, Metazoa, Chordata, Aves, Galliformes, Phasianidae. The record is from Ensembl.